GUGAUUGACAUUUUCUUAUUUGUUAUUUUUUGGUGAAGUAUAUAUAAGCAUUCACAAUGGGUGGUGCCCAAAAGAAGCUCCAUCACUAUUUUUCGAUACCAUUUCGAUAUAUCUAUAAAUCCUUUACACUUAUUAUAAUCGACAAUUCAAGAUGGUUUUUUAACCACUCCUCUCUGAUUGACUUCAACAAUUUCAACAAUAUGUUUUGUACAAGAAUACGCUUGUUCUUCCACUUUGUCACGACCACUCCUGUAUUGGUCUCCCUACCAGUUAUCUCUCCUUUUUUUAGUUUUGCACAAGUAACUUUUUUUGGAUUUAGUUUUCUGUUCUGUCUCAAGGUUCCAAUUAAAUUUUCUCUCUAAUAAACUAUGCGCUACAUUCACACUGGUAUAAAAGUAAUCUGUAUAAAUAGUGCGUCCAACGUCUAAUAAAUUUUCCGCUAAACCAAAAACAACAGAUUCUGUGACAGAUUUAUUUUGAUCUUGUCAUUUCCGUAAUAUAUUUGAAGGUCAUAAGUAUAACCACCAUUCAAGCAAAGUUUAUAUAAUUUUACGUGCGUUUUUUCGAAAAAUUGGCAGCACUAUAUAUUCUACGUUGAUUAGUUAACCUGCCAACUACAAAUGUGUAAUACUAAUCCUUAUUUUAUACGAUGAGAAUAACAGCUAACUCCCGCCGACUCAAAUCCACUUUGUAAACACAGCCAAGUCCACACAGCCAUGUGCAUUUUUAAUGGUGAUCUUGUGAGAACGUGUCGCAAUUGAGUUUAAUGUGCAUUAUUUUAAGUUACUUCUAGUAUUUUGGGCGUUUGAAAUAUUUUUUUAUUUAAUAACACAAGAGAUGUCACGUGCCAAACGAAUCCUUGAUCUGGCCAUCGGCCAAACAGCAAAUGAAACCGAAGACUCAGAGCUGGGAGAAGACUCUGAGUAUAAUACUUGGGAUUAUUCUUUUGGGGAAAGCAGUGGUGUAGACUCAAUUCCCCUGUCGUUGGAGUUACCAAUGGAUAUAUUAGACUCUCCCAUAAAAGAAAAUCAACCCUUUGAAAACUUCCAAAUAGCCGAAAAUGUGCAAAUUGAUUUUAUUGACGAAAAUGGGCAAAAAUUAGAUAAUUGUGAAUAAGUUAUUGUACUGAAUGAAAUUCGUUUACUGGACAACUUAAAUGAAGCUCCUCGUGCUUAUACAUCAGGAAUCAAUCAUAUUAAAUAAGAAUCCAAUAUAGAAUCUACAAUUUCUGAUAUUUCCGAUGACGCAGCUAGCAGGUUGGUACCAUAUUCGGAUUCCGACUCAGGCUCAUCUUAUAGUUAUCCGACAAAAAGUAAAAAACGUAAAAAGCGCUUUCAACUCCAAGAAUUUGUGAACAAUGUGGUUUACUGGAAAAAAUAGAAAGUUAAGAGAAAGGGGUCAAAGUUACUUGAGACGAAACAAACAAAAUGGAAAAUGGAUCUAUAACAAUCCAAAAAAACCUCGUACAAUGAAGGAAAGGUGAAAAUUUAAACUAAACCCUAAAGGAAUGUUAAAAUACUCUGCAGUAAAUGAAGGUCAAAGGCAACUUAUUCUUAACAACUUUUGGAAAAUGACUUGGGCGUAAAAAAAAGUUUAUGUAAACACUCUUGUCUUUUCUAUGCCACCAAGGAGAAGAAAACCUUAGAGUUUGUAGGGCAAUGUUCAUUACCACUUUAGGAAUAGUUCGCUGGACGAUACUCCAUUGAAAACGGUCUUUUCAUUCCCGUUCGCCUAAUGUUCAAAGAGAAACGUCCAUGGAAGGUCAAAAGAAGCCAUUCGAAUUGCGUCGGGAAUGUUUACUGCAAUUUUUAAAAUCAUUGCCAGUCAUGGAGCCUCAUUACUGCAGAUCAACAUCAGAAAAAAAAAACCUUUUAGCUGAGUGGCAAUCUAAACAAAGUCUUUAUGAUUUUUACAUCAAUAAUUGGUGCGAAUCAAAAAAUGUGGAGCCGCUUUUUAUAGCAACAUUUUCCAAGGCUUUUGAAGAAAAAAAUUAUACCAUUUUUCACCCGAAAAAAGAUCAAUGCGAAAAAUGCGUUAGUUACAAGGUUGGCGACAUCUCGGAAGAUGAAUACAAGAGUCACAUACAAAAGAAAAAUGCGGCAAGGGAGGAAAAGGAAAAGGAUAAAAAUACACAAAAAUAUUAUGUAUUUACAGUGGAUUUGCAAGCUGUGCUAAUGUGUCCCGUAUCUAAAGUGUCUACUUUAUAUUAUAAAACAAAACUUCAAGUGCACAAUCUUUGUUUUUAUAAUUUAAUGAAUUCAGA
RNAcentral lists this long non-coding RNA (2263 nucleotides) under Anthonomus grandis grandis. RNAcentral describes it as "uncharacterized LOC126745257". The record is from RNAcentral. Lineage: Eukaryota; Metazoa; Arthropoda; Insecta; Coleoptera; Curculionidae.